GGUAUAUCCCAAACGAGUCUAGCAUAUGAUCUAAGAGUUGUUGGGGUCAUAGGCACGUGGACAGUGGUACACUUCGGUACGCGGAAUGGAAACAGAGUAGAGUGGAACAAAAGACAAUGUUGCUGACCAAAUCGUGAGGAGUGUCACGCCGGAGCUUUAAAGCAUCGAUAAUUAUCCAAGCAACCUGUUUGAUGAAAUGCGUUUGUCAAUCGAUUCUUUAAUUUUUAUUUGGAUUAGAUUAUUUCUAAUUUCUUAUUUUAUUUGAUGACGAACAGGGGCUCAAAAGAAAAGCAAAGAAGUCGUGUUGAAAGACUGGUCACAUAUUUCUUCUCUAACAAUAAUAAGUUAAAGGUGGAAGAUUGCGGAUUGCCCUGAUGACUUGGUUUAAAAAAGCGGGAAGCGCACAAAAGCGACGAGCUCUAAAACCGAGGCGCAAAGCGCAAAAGCGGUCCUGGUGCAAAUGGAGCGAAAAUGAUUAAUAAUUAAAUAACCAGCCAGUUGAGUAGAGUAGACCGCUAGUGACGAAAGGAAAUUCGCCGCCAUUUUUCGUGAGUGGACCGAGCCCGCUAUCUCUAUGUUAUUAAAAUAGGCCAUGCCAUAUUAUUAUUUCACAUGUUAAUUAAAGUUAAGAGUUGGGUUGUUGGGCGAUACAAGAGGAAAAAAAGAAAAGAUGGCUUGAUAACUUAUAAGCAGAUUGUGAUUCAUGGGCUACGUCAUCAACAAAUAAAAUAAACAAAUAUGGGCUCAUGGAAAAUGCAUAAGGUUUGCACAUGGUCAACAAGUUGGUGAAUUAAUUGAAGUCACUGCACACCUACGGACUAGUAUCAUAUUUCGUUAAUUAAUUGGGCUUGGCCCAUUACCAUUGGGAUACAUCUUCUAAACGACAAAAGGCGGCUAUUACGGGGAG
This 907-nucleotide long non-coding RNA is filed under the name Helianthus annuus (common sunflower). Its description in RNAcentral is "hypothetical non coding rna". The record is from RNAcentral. Lineage: Eukaryota; Viridiplantae; Streptophyta; Magnoliopsida; Asterales; Asteraceae.